UACGUAGGGGGCAAGCGUUGUCCGGAUUUAUUGGGCGUAAAGGGCGCGUAGGCGGUCAGCACAAGUCAGUUGUGAAAUCUCCGGGCUUAACCCGGAAAGGUCAACUGAUACUGUGCGACUAGAGUGCGGAAGGGGCAACUGGAAUUCUCGGUGUAGCGGUGAAAUGCGUAGAUAUCGAGAGGAACACCUGCGGCGAAGGCGGGUUGCUGGGCCGACACUGACGCUGAUGCGCGAAAGCCAGGGGAGCGAACGGG
Molecule: ribosomal RNA, 254 nt
Filed under: uncultured bacterium
Lineage: Bacteria
Description: partial 16S ribosomal RNA
Rfam family: Bacterial small subunit ribosomal RNA
Source: RNAcentral